This 468-nucleotide ribosomal RNA is filed under the name uncultured bacterium. RNAcentral describes it as "partial 16S ribosomal RNA". It matches the Rfam family "Bacterial small subunit ribosomal RNA", at positions 28 to 507 of the family's 1533-position model. The record is from RNAcentral.
GACGAACGCUGGCGGCGUGCUUAACACAUGCAAGUCGAACGGAAAGGCCCUGCUUUUGUGGGGUGCUCGAGUGGCGAACGGGUGAGUAACACGUGAGUAACCUGCCCUUGACUUUGGUAUAACUUCAGGAAACUGGGGCUAAUACCGGAUAGGAGCUCCUGCUGCAUGGUGGGGGUUGGAAAGUUUCGGCGGUUGGGGAUGUACUCGCGGCUUAUCAGCUUGUUGGUGGGGUAGUGGCUUACCAAGGCUUUUACGGGUAGCCGGCCUGAGAGGGGGACCGGCGACAUUGGGACUGAGAUACGGCCCAGACUCCUACGGGCGGCAGCAGUGGGGAAUCUUGCACAAUGGGCGGAAGCCUGAUGCAGCAACGCCGCGUGCGGGAUGACGGCCUUCGGGUUGUAAACCGAUUUCGCCUGUGACGAAGAGUGAGUGACGGUAAUGGGUAAAGAAGCACCGGCUAACUACGUG